CCGGGCGGGAGGGCGCCUGCGCCUCGCGACGUCACCGGGGGCGGUGGGGCUCGGCGCUAGGGCGCAUGCGCCUGCGUGAGAGCACAUGUGCGCAGCGGGGGGGGGCGGCGGGGCGCCGGCGGGGCAGGGCGCGCGUGCGCACUGAGCGGAUCGACGGCGCGCGGGCUGAGCGGCCGUGCGCGUGCGCCGCGUCGCGCCCGGCCACGCCACGCCACGCCACGCCACGCCACGCCCCGUCCCGUCUCGUCUCGCGCGCGCCUCGGGCUGCCCGUGCGGGGAGCGGGCCGGGCGCAGGCGGGCAAGGAAGGUCGCGUGCCGGCCGGAAGGGGAUGGGCCCUUCCGGCGCAUGCGCGGGAGAGCCGUGCCCGCCCCGGGCGGUGUCUCUGUGCUCCCUUUUCCGUGCAGGGCUCUCUGUCCAACCGCAGCGGGCGUCCUGCGCCGCCGCGCCUCCCAGCGCCGCGCCUGUGCCGGGGCGGGUGUCGUUGCUCGGGGUGCCGGCUGCGCGGUCCGCAGCGAGCGGGAGCUGUCCCUGCGGCGCACAGGCCCGGGCCUCCCGCGGGCGUUGCCCAGGCUGACCUGGCGCUAGGGGACGGCACCCCCCGAGCGGGUGUGUUCGCACCUGCGUUCCAGAGCCGUGCGCUGCAGCUCCGGCGGCGCCUUCAGCCAGCCCCGAGCCGUGCAAACCACAGCUGCGCCUUCGCGGGGUGCCGGGCUGUGCUGAAGAAGCGGGAAAAGGGUUCAGGAAAAGGAUUCUCAAUAGUUUGGCAGAGCUGGUUUUAGUGGAAACAGAGUUUAGGUUCUACUCAGGUUGUUUCUUAAUUGUGAUGUAUGUACUUGCUGUAUUUUAAAACAUUAAAGUUUUGCUUGUAAAUCGAAUAGUAUCAGGUAUUGGCUCCCAAUCUUGUAGUUUUUGCACGUGUGUGUGGCAUCUGCAGUUACAGGUGGUUUGGGGGGGCGAUACGGCGAAAUUAUGUCCUGUUAGAAGUUUGUCCAGUGAGUAUCAGGAUUUGUGCCAUAUAAAGAAUUUUUCAGAGAGAAGCUGCGAUCUGGUGGAGUUUAGAAAACCUGUGACAAGAAUACUGCUGGUUUAUUUUUAGCUAGCAUCUUAUGCCUAAGAAGAGUGAAGCCUUUCAUGAAAAAACGUUUUUUUUUCUUUAUCUUUAAGAAUUCUAUGGUUUUCUAUUAACAACUAAUUAAAUGUGUUUCAGAUUCUUACAAAAGCGUAGAACCAAAUGAAAUAUCAAAUGUGCUUCAUUCCUGCCAUGCCAGUUAGUACAAGUGUAAAGCAAGAAGCCAGACCUUAGAUUUGCAGAAGUCUUGGAGAUCACAGCUCUUUAAUGUAGUAUUUCUUCUGUGUGCGUGUGUUCUUUUUUUGUUGUUUUGUUUGUUUAGUUAUUUUUUGUUUAGCAUGUGUUUUCAACAGAGAGAGGAAUAAUUGUCUGCAUUUUCGUAUCUUGUUUUAUUUUUCUUUCCCUGGUACUUGCCAUCCCAGGUUUAAAUAGAGCCGUAGGAGGGAGUACUUGUGGAAUUUUGCUGUCACCUGUGAAGGAUUCCACUUGCAUUCAGCAGCUGCUGCAGUGUUGCUGCCCCUUGUUGGAGGUCACCCAACCCACGGCAGAACUGGCAUCUCCCCACUUGUUUCACGGCACAGUAUCACAUCUUCAUUCAGCCCUCCUGUUUUAAACUGGGAUCCUGACUUUGCAUGGGAAGCAGCUGACAAGCAAAGGGCAUGCAUUGGAAAGCGUUCAUGCUGGUCUUGUGGUGCUGGCUUAAUGAGUGGGUCAGACUGGAGUGAGCUCUGGCAUGAACAGGGCCUGUUCCUGCUGGUGUUACAUCCCAGUACCAACAGUGCAUCUCCUGCUCCGCCUGCUGCAUCAGGCCCAGCAGAUGCCCAAGGCUAUGUGUCACCAGGCCAGCUGCCAUUCAGCAGAAGGUGGGUGCUGCUGGCUCUUGCUCUCCUCCUGGCUCCCUGCAGAGACCUUGGUGGCCAUUGCUCACCUCUGGUCAUGGGCACUUGUGGGGCAGGAGGGACGUUCUCUCCAUGUGCGCACAGGCAAAGCUGGCAGAGCAAUGCUGGGACACUGGAUCCCACAGCGCUUCCCGACUCUCCUGGGGCUGAAGCUCCAAGCUUGGAUGGGUUAUUUUGGCAUGUGUGACCCAACGUCCUGGUGCAGGAGCAGAACCCCCCCUGGUUCAGCAACAGGAGGUGGGAAGGCUGAGCAGUGGUGCCAGCUCCCCUCUCAGCAGCUGUGAGGUCUAAGUAAGAAAUAACAAAGAAAUGCUUGCAAAAUAAAAAUGCUUUUGAUGUGAAUAGAAAUGUUUAUAAUAAUUUGGAUUUUUUUUUCAUUUAGAUAAGGCUCAGAAAAUGUAUUUUGUCACAGUGACAUGCAGUGAGCUCUAGUAGGUGUACCCAUUCCAGGAUAAAAGGAACAGAAGCCACUCGCUUGAUGAACCUGAAAGCUUUCUUAGAAUUACAAAAGGAAUAAAUGAUCUUAAUCAUAUUAA
Columba livia (rock pigeon) is the source of this 2505-nucleotide long non-coding RNA. RefSeq lists it as uncharacterized. The record is from RefSeq and is a predicted model, not a curated record. The transcript has 3 exons. NCBI's taxonomy places the organism in Eukaryota, Metazoa, Chordata, Aves, Columbiformes, Columbidae.